Long non-coding RNA from Oryctolagus cuniculus (rabbit), 695 nucleotides. RefSeq annotates it as scrapie-responsive protein 1. The record is from RefSeq and is a predicted model, not a curated record. Lineage: Eukaryota; Metazoa; Chordata; Mammalia; Lagomorpha; Leporidae.
AAGAAGCUGUUUGGUUCGUUCUCGCCUGGUUUGGAAGAAUCCAAGGGAGGCAGUUCUUGCAGCCCUGUCUCCUUCCACUCCCCUUCUCCCCCAGUCCUGGCUGGAGCUGUGAGUCUGUCAAUCUCAGGCAAGAGACAAGGCAGACAAAGAUUCAUUUGUGAGGACCUCCUUCCAGCACCUCCACUCUUCUCCUUUUGCCCAAACUCACCCAGGGAGUUGGAGCAUUUAAGAUUUCUCUGCCAGGAAGACCAAAAGGAAAGAAGAAAAAGGAUCAAAAGUCAAAAUGAAAUUUAUAGCACUUGCUGUCACUGUUGGACUAACUUUGCUGCUAGGAGUCCAAGCCAUGCCUGCAAAUCGCCUCUCUUGCUACGGAAAGAUACUAAAAGACCGCAACUGUCACAACCUUCCAGAAGGAGUAGCUGACCUGACACAAAUUGAUGCAAACAUCCAGGAUCACUUUUGGGAUGGGAAGGGAUGUGAGAUGAUUUGCUACUGCAAUUUCAGUGAAUUGCUCUGCUGCCCAAAAGAUAUCUUCUUUGGACCAAAGAUCUCUUUUGUGAUUCCUUGCAACAAUCACUGAGAAUCUUCAUGUAUUCUGGAGAAUGCCAUCUCUCAUUUCCCAAAACUGCACUACAUCAGUAUAAAUGUAUUUCUAGUUUCUACCCAUUAAAAUAAAGGACAGAUUCAAUAAAUUC